AACUUUUGGCAAUGGAUCUCUUGGUUGUGGCAUCGAUGAAGAACGCAGCAAAAUGCGAUAAGUAAUGUGAAUUGCAGAAUUCAGUGAAUCAUCGAAUCUUUGAACGCACAUUGCGCCCGCUGGUAUUCCGGCGGGCAUGCCUGUUCGAGCGUCAUUAUGACCAAUCAAGCUCUGCUUGGCUUUGGGGCCCGCUGUACCGGCGGCUCUUAAAACUAGUGGCGGUGCCGUCUGGCUCUAAGCGUAGUAAUACGUCUCGCUAUAGUGUUUAGGCGUCUACCCGCCAGAACCCCCCAACUUUCUUAGGUUGACCUCGGAUCAGGUAGGGAUACCCGCUGAACUUAAGCAUAUCAAUAAGCGGAGGCU
Molecule: unclassified non-coding RNA, 363 nt
Filed under: uncultured Phialophora
Lineage: Eukaryota; Fungi; Ascomycota; Leotiomycetes
Description: sequence contains ITS2
Rfam family: 5.8S ribosomal RNA (bases 1-154)
Source: RNAcentral